Molecule: long non-coding RNA, 1069 nt
Filed under: Fukomys damarensis (Damara mole-rat)
Lineage: Eukaryota; Metazoa; Chordata; Mammalia; Rodentia; Bathyergidae
Description: lncRNA (ENSFDAG00000032734.1)
Source: RNAcentral
CAGUGCCCUCCUUUGUGGGCUGACAUGUCUGGAAUGGAAACUGAAGCCAACUGGACUGCUGCCAGGGAAUCACAUUGAUGCUGAAGCUGGACCGCAGGGCAAUUAGCAGGCUCACCCCAGCAGUUCUGUGUGUAUCAGGGCUCUCCUCGUCAGUUCCUUCCUAUGCCUGACAAGACAAUGUGCACUUGGCUGCAGCAGCAGUGAAGAACCAGGUCAUCUGGUCUACUGGUAAAAAUAACAAGAAAGUCUCUGCAUAAGUGAUGACACCAAUCAAAAGUAAAAAGUGAAAUAUCUGAUGCCCAGAGACUAGAUGAAUGCAUUUCUAGAUUUAAACAAUUUUACCAAUAGGGGGCGAUAGGUCCCUAUGUUGUCAGUGGUUUUUAUUGUGCUUGCUGAAACUCUAAUCCCUUUUUCCUUUCAUCAAGUAGUUCCACAAAUGAAAUUUGCAUGUGGGUGCUGCUACCAGUACUUUUUACAGUCCUUGAAAAUGGCCAUCAAAGGGGCAGCACCUCCAUUCCCCUGUCUGUUAAUGGCACAGCAUGGAAACAGCCAAGCAUGUGACUAUUUGUGUCUGGCAAAGUAAAUGUUCCUCAUCCCUGUCCCUUCCUGGCCUCUCAGUGGGGCUCGUGAAAAGAACCUGCCAUUGUUUUCAUCAUUUGCAAGGUUCUUUUUGUUGGAAAAUAGAGAGCUGGUAGAAUUUGUGUUGGGGGCGAUUCUUCUUUCUUGAGAGGAUGAUAGCAAGACUAAAAUUAUGGAAGCAUAAAAGCUGCAGGUUUUCUAUAAUGGGCACUGCUCAGUAUUAUUAAUAACUGUGCACAAGGCACUUUUAUGUUGGCAAGUGGCUUCAAUCAUUUUUAUCACGUAAUAGCUGCAAAGGUUCAGUGAGCUCUUCAAUCUCCUCACAAGAUUGGGUACCAAGUAACACAUACGAUUUGAAGGCUAGGAGGAAAUUCCGGAGAAUUAUUCCAGAAAUAUUUUUGAGUGAUUAAUUCAGGAAUAAUUGUAUACAUACAUACAUGUAUAUUCAUAUAUAUAUAUAUAUACAUAUAUAUGUACAGAUGUGACAGUG